UGGGCAGUAGCUCGGUGGUAGUGCUCCCCGCUUCGUAUGUGGGAAGACCUGGGUUCGAUUCCCGGUUGCUUAC
RNAcentral lists this transfer RNA (73 nucleotides) under Toxocara canis (dog roundworm). It matches the Rfam family "tRNA". Rfam says of the family: Transfer RNA (tRNA) molecules are approximately 80 nucleotides in length. Their secondary structure includes four short double-helical elements and three loops (D, anti-codon, and T loops). Further hydrogen bonds mediate the characteristic L-shaped molecular structure. tRNAs have two regions of fundamental functional importance: the anti-codon, which is responsible for specific mRNA codon recognition, and the 3' end, to which the tRNAs corresponding amino acid is attached (by aminoacyl-tRNA synthetases). tRNAs cope with the degeneracy of the genetic code in two manners: having more than one tRNA (with a specific anti-codon) for a particular amino acid; and 'wobble' base-pairing, i.e. permitting non-standard base-pairing at the 3rd anti-codon position. Lineage: Eukaryota; Metazoa; Nematoda; Chromadorea; Rhabditida; Toxocaridae. The record is from Rfam by way of RNAcentral.